CGUGGGUGAUCUGCCUUGCACUCUGGGAUAAGCUUGGGAAACUGGGUCUAAUACCGGAUAUGAACUGCCUUUAGUGUGGUGGUUGGAAAGUUUUUUCGGUGCAAGAUGAGCUCGCGGCCUAUCAGCUUGUUGGUGGGGUAAUGGCCUACCAAGGCGUCGACGGGUAGCCGGCCUGAGAGGGUGUACGGCCACAUUGGGACUGAGAUACGGCCCAGACUCCUACGGGAGGCAGCAGUGGGGAAUAUUGCACAAUGGGCGGAAGCCUGAUGCAGCGACGCCGCGUGGGGGAUGACGGCCUUCGGGUUGUAAACUCCUUUCGACAGGGACGAAGCUUUUUGUGACGGUACCUGUAUAAGAAGCACCGGCUAACUACGUGCCAGCAGCCGCGGUAAUACGUAGGGUGCGAGCGUUGUCCGGAAUUACUGGGCGUAAAGAGCUCGUAGGUGGUUUGUCGCGUCGUCUGUGAAAUUCCGGGGCUUAACUCCGGGCGUGCAGGCGAUACGGGCAUAACUUGAGUGCUGUAGGGGAGACUGGAAUUCCUGGUGUAGCGGUGAAAUGCGCAGAUAUCAGGAGGAACACCGAUGGCGAAGGCAGGUCUCUGGGCAGUUACUGACGCUGAGGAGCGAAAGCAUGGGUAGCAAACAGGAUUAGAUACCCUGGUAGUCCAUGCCGUAAACGGUGGGCGCUAGGUGUAGGGGGCUUCCACGU
Molecule: ribosomal RNA, 708 nt
Filed under: Corynebacterium aurimucosum
Lineage: Bacteria; Bacillati; Actinomycetota; Actinomycetes; Mycobacteriales; Corynebacteriaceae
Description: bacterial SSU rRNA
Rfam family: Bacterial small subunit ribosomal RNA
Source: RNAcentral